RNAcentral lists this long non-coding RNA (377 nucleotides) under Anas platyrhynchos platyrhynchos (common mallard). RNAcentral's name for it is "lncRNA (ENSAPLG00000018791.1)". Lineage: Eukaryota; Metazoa; Chordata; Aves; Anseriformes; Anatidae. The record is from RNAcentral.
GAGAAACAGUAAUGGAAGGGAGAAAAGAACUUGAGGGAGCUUAUCUUUUGCCUUUGAAACUGAAAACCCCAAUUUUGUUGAAUAUUUGCUUUCAGCUGUAAUUAAGGGAAAGAAACUGGGACAAGCUGGAGUUGAAGCUAUGGGAGGUGCAAGUGGAUGGCAUCUCUCAAGCUGAGCAUCCAAAUUAGAAGUCCGUGGUGAGGGCAUAGCUGCGAUCCCUGAAGCUCAAUACCAUGAUUGAGAAAGCACCGAAAUAGCUGUGGAGAGGGGUUAGAGAAAUGGUGAAGGAAAUGCUGGCUGCGCAGCACUGCCUCUGCCCCAGCUCCAGACCAUUAGUCACAGGAGAGACUUCAUCAUCACCAUCCUCCCUGUUCCCG